GAUGAAGAACGUAGCGAAAUGCGAUAAGUAAUGUGAAUUGCAGAAUUCAGUGAAUCAUCGAAUCUUUGAACGCACAUUGCGCCCGCUAGUAUUCUGGCGGGCAUGCCUGUCCGAGCGUCAUUUCAACCCUCAAGCCCCCGGGCUUGGUGUUGGGGAUCGGCGAGCCUCCGCGCCCGCCGUCCCCUAAAUCUAGUGGCGGUCUCGCUGUAGCUUCCUAUGCGUAGUAGCACACCUCGCACUGGGAAACAGCGCGGCCACGCCGUUAAACCCCCAACUUCUGAACGUUUGACCUCGGAUCAGGUAGGAAUACCCGCUGAACUUAAGCAUAUCAAUAAGCGGAGGA
RNAcentral lists this unclassified non-coding RNA (343 nucleotides) under soil metagenome. RNAcentral describes it as "partial contains 5.8S ribosomal RNA, internal transcribed spacer 2, and large subunit ribosomal RNA". The stretch from base 1 to 120 matches the Rfam family "5.8S ribosomal RNA", at positions 35 to 154 of the family's 154-position model. The record is from RNAcentral.